Molecule: long non-coding RNA, 321 nt
Organism: Cucumis sativus (cucumber)
Lineage: Eukaryota; Viridiplantae; Streptophyta; Magnoliopsida; Cucurbitales; Cucurbitaceae
Exons: 2
Source: RefSeq, a predicted model, not a curated record
AAAUUGUGGGCGUCGGUCGUCACCCCUCCCCUCCGCCGGAAAUCAAGGCCAAAGGAGAUGUCAUGGCUAUGGGCUGAAGCUUUGAGAAAAAAAGAAUGAAAAAUGAAAUGUGAGAUCUUAAACUUUGUACUUUGCCUUAAGUUGUGUCAAACUAGUCAAUAAAGUAACUUAACUACCAAUUUGCCUUAAGUGCCGGGUUGUUGGGAUUUGUUUGCUGUAAUUUGUCUAGGGUUAUGUGUGUUUGUGAUGUGUUGUUAGUGAGUAUGUUGAAUUUUGUGUUCGAGCUUCCAGAUGUGAAGUAUAUAAAAUGUUAUUUGUAAU